CCCGGCCUGUCUCUUUUACGUGUAUUUUUUCCUUCCUCCCACAAAUAAAAAAUAUCACAGUGUAUUUAAACAAAACAAAAACCUAUGCAUGUACUUUGAAGCAGGUAGCUCUGUGAGCAGUAGCAAAUUCAUAUGGGUCUGUAGCAACCUCAAUUCUUGCCUCCUCAGAAGAAAGAAUUCCACCGAGGGGCAUAAGGCAGAGUGAGACAGCAAGGCAAGUUUUAGAGCAGGAGUGAAAGUUUAUUAAAAACCUUUAGAGCAGGAAUAGAAAGAAGUAAAGUACACUUGGAAGAGGGUCAAGUGGGUGACUUGAGAGAUGAAGUGCCCUGUUUGACCUUUAACUAGGGUUAUUACAUGUUGGCAUACUUCCGAGGGGAGAGGGUUGCAUCCCUUCUCCCCUGAUUCUUCCCUAGGGGUGGGCUGUUUGCAUACACAGGGGCUUGCCAGCACUUGGCAGAGGAGCAUGUGCAGUGUCUGUACUGAAAUUGUACACAUGCUCACUCGAGGUGCUCAAGAAUGAUCUUAUACCUGUUAAACGCCACCAUUCCGCCUCUUAGUGAGCAUGCUUGAGCCCACUCGUCCAACUCCUGAAAUCUUAUCAAGAAGCAGUUGAUCACUAGUUUCAGGUGUUUCUAUCCUUUGGGAGACUGCCUUUUCCUGGUGCUGGCUGCAACCAAUUGUUAUUUUAGAGAGAUACUGUAACAAUCACCUGAGAUAUCUUGGUAAGUGAGUAGGGAGUGUUCAGCCCUCCCCUACCCUGCUCAUGUCUGACUAGCUACCUACUGUAACAGCUCUGGAUUUAACUACUGUUUUUUACAAUUAGGCUGAAAUAAGUGGAGACUUUGCUGAUCUUCUUACCAAGGACAGAGGGCUAUGGAGGCUGAUACAGCAGGCACCUCAUGGAAACAGAGACUGGAUCUCACUACUUGCCUAGCUCUUGAACUCCUGGCCUCAAGCAAUCCUCCUGCCUCAACCUCCCAAAGUGCUGGGAUUACAGGAGUGAGCCACUAUGCCCCACAUGAAUUUGCUUAGAAACCAUUUCUCCGGAUGUGCUCCCUCUUUCCUUGUCAUGCAGUGGUAUUCCAUUUCCUCCAUUUUUUACCAGUAUUCUCCCAUUUGAGAAAACAAUGAACAAAUCAGUGAGAAGAAGCAAGCAGCUUAUAUUCUUUGAUAUUCUCUGCUAUUCUGGUUUUUGGGGAAAAUAUUUCAUAAUCAGUCCUCCAAAAUUGAAGUGAUGUGAAAGAAUUGGCAGAUAUUUAAAUAAAGGACCCAUAAGUAUAAAAUAAAUGGAAACUGUAGUAAUGAGGCUAUGAAAUAUAUAAGAUGGUUUAUUCAUAGGUAAUACAGACCUUCCAGAGAAAAGUUUAUACGCCUCACAGAAAGGACAGGGACUUUGAAAUUAACAAUGAACUUCUUUAGAAAUUCUGACUUUAAUAGUUAACAUUUGUAAGACUUGAAACAAGAUAUCUUGUUUAAUAAACUCCACAAACCUCAAUUUUUUUACAAGAUGGGGAAAAUAAUGGCUACCUUAGAUGAGUAUUGUGGGGAUUAAAGUAAAUAGAUAUAAAAUAUCUAAAAGAAUGCCUGGGGCAUUGUUAGUGUUGUAAUAACUUAGUUUCAUAAAGCUCCAGUAAAUAGUCAUGUACAUAUUAUUUUUUAGAAGUAUGAAGUUCAGAAAUAUUUGUGAUCCCUUUUCUUAUUUGCAGUCUUCUCAGUACUAAAUGGAAUGACUAAGGGUAUCUUUAAUUAUUAAACAACUCCUAACCUGAAAACAAAUGGAUUACAUUGGUGGCCGACUCACAGAGAAAGUUUAUGCAGAUAGAAUCUACAUGGCCAAUUCAAAAAAAGGACACAUUUUUAGAAACGAUAUCCAGGAUGUCACAAUACCUUGUCUACACUCAUCAAUUUUAUUGUCACCUUGCCACUAUUGAGCUUAGUGUUGACACUUCCCAGAGCCCAGAAGUUGCCCCUAAAAAUUAUGAAUUCCACACUGGGAAAGCAAGGUAAAGUAAUUCUUUUGUUGGGUUAUUGAUGCUUUGGAAGGGACAUAGAGAUAUGGAUGCAUACAUAGCUCAAAAUAAAAGAGAAUUUAUUCUGGAACAUGGCCAAGAUAAGAAUGUCACCUAAGUUCACCAGGCCAUCAUUUGAGAGUAGCUUCAGCAGAUUAAUACAUCAAAAAAGCCAAUAAAACAAAACAUUGAAAUGUAAUUAUUUAUUAAAUACUUGAAGGAAUUACAGUAGUUGAGUUGAAUCAUAUUUUUUUAAAAAGAUGAAGAAGAAAAACACAGCCUUUAAAAUUUCUCUUUCGAUCCCCUUUUUCUCUUUUCCUGAAAUUCUAAACCUCAAGGAAGUUGACUUAUAAGAUGUUCCUUUUUUAAAAUCAACCCACUCUCAAAAUUCC
RNAcentral lists this long non-coding RNA (2401 nucleotides) under Homo sapiens (human). Its description in RNAcentral is "HSALNT0213850". The record is from RNAcentral. Lineage: Eukaryota; Metazoa; Chordata; Mammalia; Primates; Hominidae.